UACAGAGGUCUCAAGCGUUGUUCGGAUUUAUUGGGCGUAAAGGGUGCGUAGGCGGCGAGGUAAGUCUGGUGUGAAAACUCGAGGCUCAACCUCGAGCUGUCGGUGGAAACUGUCUGGCUAGAGUCCGGAAGAGGAGAGUGGAAUUCCUGGUGUAGCGGUGAAAUGCGCAGAUAUCAGGAAGAACACCCGUGGCGAAGGCGGUUCUCUGGAACGCAACUGACGCUGAGACGCGAAAGCGUGGGGAGCAAACAGG
RNAcentral lists this ribosomal RNA (253 nucleotides) under uncultured bacterium. RNAcentral's name for it is "partial 16S ribosomal RNA". It matches the Rfam family "Bacterial small subunit ribosomal RNA", at positions 524 to 776 of the family's 1533-position model. The record is from RNAcentral.